GAUGAACGCUGGCGGCGUGCUUAACACAUGCAAGUCGAACGGAAAGGCCCAAGCUUGCUUGGGUACUCGAGUGGCGAACGGGUGAGUAACACGUGGGUGAUCUGCCCUGCACUUCGGGAUAAGCCUUGGAAACUGGGUCUAAUACCGGAUAGGACCACGUCUUGGAUGUUGUGGUGGAAAGUUUUUUCGGUGUGGGAUGAGCUCGCGGCCUAUCAGCGUGUUGGUGGGGUAAUGGCCUACCAAGGCGUCGACGGGUAGCCGGCCCGUGAGGGUGUACGGCCACAUUGGGCCUGAGAUACGGCCCAGACUCCUACGGGAGGCAGCAGUGGGGAAUAUUGCACAAUGGGCGCAAGCCUGAUGCAGCGACGCCGCGUGGGGGAUGACGGCUUUCGGGUUGUAAACUCCUUUCGCUAGGGAAGAAGCGUUUUUGUGACGGUACCUGGAGAAGAAGCACCGGCUAACUACGUG
RNAcentral lists this ribosomal RNA (468 nucleotides) under uncultured bacterium. RNAcentral's name for it is "partial 16S ribosomal RNA". It matches the Rfam family "Bacterial small subunit ribosomal RNA", at positions 28 to 507 of the family's 1533-position model. The record is from RNAcentral.